RNAcentral lists this ribosomal RNA (493 nucleotides) under uncultured bacterium. RNAcentral describes it as "partial 16S ribosomal RNA". It matches the Rfam family "Bacterial small subunit ribosomal RNA", at positions 29 to 523 of the family's 1533-position model. The record is from RNAcentral.
AUUGAACGCUGGCGGCAUGCUUUACACAUGCAAGUCGAACGGUAACAGGUUAAGCUGACGAGUGGCGAACGGGUGAGUAAUGCAUCGGAACGUGCCCGGUCGUGGGGGAUAACGCAGCGAAAGCUGCGCUAAUACCGCAUACGAUCUGAGGAUGAAAGCGGGGGACCGUAAGGCCUCGCGCGAUCGGAGCGGCCGAUGUCAGAUUGGGUAGUUGGUGGGGUAAAGGCUCACCAAGCCAACGAUCUGUAGCUGGUCUGAGAGGACGACCAGCCACACUGGGACUGAGACACGGCCCAGACUCCUACGGGAGGCAGCAGUGGGGAAUUUUGGACAAUGGGCGAAAGCCUGAUCCAGCAAUGCCGCGUGCAGGAAGAAGGCCUUCGGGUUGUAAACUGCUUUUGUACGGAGCGAAAAGGCCUCCUCUAAUACAGGGGGCUCAUGACGGUACCGUAAGAAUAAGCACCGGCUAACUACGUGCCAGCCGCCGCAGUAA